CCUGGCAAUGAUGAUGAUCAAAUAUAUUUUUUGAGUUUCACGACCGUGAAAUUACUUUAACAUGCACUACCAUCUGAGCCUGG
Small nucleolar RNA from Callorhinchus milii (elephant shark), 83 nucleotides. NCBI's taxonomy places the organism in Eukaryota, Metazoa, Chordata, Chondrichthyes, Chimaeriformes, Callorhinchidae. The record is from RefSeq and is a predicted model, not a curated record.